GACGAACGCUGGCGGCGUGCUUAACACAUGCAAGUCGAACGGAAAGGCCCUGCUUUUGUGGGGUGCUCGAGUGGCGAACGGGUGAGUAACACGUGAGUAACCUGCCCUUGACUUUGGGAUAACUUCAGGAAACUGGGGCUAAUACCGGAUAGGAGCUCCUGCUGCAUGGUGGGGGUUGGAAAGUUUCGGCGGUUGGGGAUGGACUCGCGGCUUAUCAGCUUGUUGGUGGGGUAGUGGCUUACCAAGGCUUUGACGGGUAGCCGGCCUGAGAGGGUGAUCGGCCACAUUGGGACUGAGAUACGGCCCAGACUCCUACGGGAGGCAGCAGUGGGGAAUAUCGCACAAUGGGCGGAAGCCUGAUGCAGCAACGCCGCGUGCGGGAUGACGGCCUUCGGGUUGUAAACCGCUUUCGCCUGUGACGAAGCGUGAGUGACGGUAAUGGGUAAAGAAGCACCGGCUAACUACGUG
Molecule: ribosomal RNA, 468 nt
Filed under: uncultured bacterium
Lineage: Bacteria
Description: partial 16S ribosomal RNA
Rfam family: Bacterial small subunit ribosomal RNA
Source: RNAcentral